CCUACGGGGGGCAGCAGUGGGGGAUAUUGCACAAUGGGGGGAACCCUGAUGCAGCGACGCCGCGUGGGUGAAGAAGCGCCUAGGCGCGUAAAGCCCUGUCAGCAGGGAAGAAAAUGACGGUACCUGAAGAAGAAGCCCCGGCUAACUACGUGCCAGCAGCCGCGGUAAUACGUAGGGGGCAAGCGUUAUCCGGAUUUACUGGGUGGAAAGGGGGCGCAGACGGCGAUGCAAGCCAGGAGUGAAAGCCCGGGGCCCAACCCCGGGACUGCUCUUGGAACUGCGUGGCUGGAGUGCAGGAGGGGCAGGCGGAAUGCCUGGUGUAGCGGUGAAAUGCGUAGAUAUCAGGAGGAACACCGGUGGCGAAGGCGGCCUGCUGGACUGCAACUGACGUUGAGGCCCGAAAGCGUGGGGAGCAAACAGGAUUAGAUACCCCAGUAGUG
Molecule: ribosomal RNA, 440 nt
Filed under: uncultured bacterium
Lineage: Bacteria
Description: partial 16S ribosomal RNA
Rfam family: Bacterial small subunit ribosomal RNA
Source: RNAcentral